Salvelinus fontinalis (brook trout) is the source of this 2461-nucleotide long non-coding RNA. RefSeq lists it as uncharacterized. Lineage: Eukaryota; Metazoa; Chordata; Actinopteri; Salmoniformes; Salmonidae. The record is from RefSeq and is a predicted model, not a curated record. The transcript is spliced from 8 exons.
AAACUGCCUCGUACUCAAUCCUUGCUCGUACAAUAUUCAUAUUAUUAUUACUAUUGGAUAGAAAACACUCUCUAGUUUCUAAACCCGUUUGAAUUAUAUAUGUGAGUAAAACAGAACUCAAGUUGGAGCAAACUUCCUGUGAGGAAGUGAGAAAUCUGAAAUCAGGCAGGCUGUUCUGGGGUCAGUUUAUUAAUUUGCAUGUCUUAUAUUGGUCGAGAUGCACUGCAUACGCCUUCCCCUAGAUGUCAGCAAAUAGUGAGAAUUGGAAUGGAGUUGCUAGGCAGAUCUGAGGCCAUAUAAAUGGUCUUGGAACGUGGGGUGCAGUCUUUUCAACAUUCGCCAUGACGCAAGACAGACCUCAGGAUGGCAUUCUGGAAAGCUCCCGUUAUAGGCAUUAGAUAUAUCCGGCUCUGAUUUUAUUCGAUAUAGGUGUUAAAGACAUCAUGUUGUUAUUUUAAACCAAGUUAUAUCAGUUUAUAUCAGUAUAUUGCGAUUUUCGGAUAUUUGUUAGUGCUGGGUUAUAGUGAGUUGGACACGUCUUCGCCACAUGGCUAAUGUUUACUGCUAAUUCCAAAGUUGAAGGCGACAAUCUACAACCGAGCAACGAUUCCUCUGGACAAAGGACAACUUGCCCAAGAUUCUGAUGGGAGCUCAUCAAAAAGAUAGACUUCCACCCCUACCAAAGAACACCUCACCCAGAUCUACUAAUGACAAGAUUGCUGCAGAUAUAGAAUGCACCAUGUCAAUAAAGCAGCAUGCUCCAGCAGAAGAGGAAAUAUUAAAAAGGAUAAAAUUCAGGAGGGACGAGCACAUAAUAGAGAAGCUUCAGUGGAUCGACAAGAUACUUUGUGGCUUAACCAACAUGAGGAAUAGAGACCUGAAAACACUGUUGCCUCUUGCAAGUGGGUAUGUGAACAUCAUCAUGAAAGACACAGAUGAAACCAAUGUUCUUUUGAAGAACUCUUGAGGUGUCUGAUUCCAUUUUCACCUGAGGACAUGAACAUCAACCCAGACUUGUGGGAGUCAUUCAUCAAUCACCAAGGCAGUAAAAUUGUCCACAGAUUUUCAUGGGAAUACCGGUACUAUCAUUGUUUUUAAUGGUUUUUGUUUUUGUUUUUCAGAGCCAAAAUCACCCUCCCCUAAGUUUGCUGGGUAAGAAAUGUAACACAUACAGUACAUUGGUUAAAAUCCAUAUUUCAUUUUGCAGACGCUCUUACCCAGAGCAAAUAGGGUUAAGUGCCUUGCUCAAGGGCACAUCGGCAGAUGGUUUUACGUAGUCGGCUCAGGGAUUCACACCAGCAACCUUUCGGUUACUGUCCCAAUACUCUUAACCACUAGGCUACCUGCCACCCCUAAUUAUGUAUUUGCUAACUAAAGUUUAAUGGUCAAUUCCACCUUAACACAUUGCAGUUGUAAGCCUGUCCAGUUAGGACUCAGAAGGAAGGCAGGUCUAAAGGAGGUAGAGAAUGAAACUGGGGACCUACCUCCUUGGCUGAACCUGCUCUUGGAUGAGAACAGUUAGUACACAGUCAUUUUGAUUUGCAGUAUAACAAAUAUAUAAGGACUAUAUAAUGACACUUCAGUAUAAACGGCAUAUAAUGGUUUACUUGGGUCUGAAAGUCAGAUUGAAAUACUGAUAUUGACUAUUUACUUUCCACAACCACAUAUGAGAAGGAUCCUCAGAAGUGAGUAUCAGUGGCCAGUGUUUAAGACAUUAAUGAAACAUGAGAGUAGAAUAUAGAUAUUCAAUCUUGACAUAUUUUUUUCAGACCAAAGAACAGACAUGAUAUGCUGGAACGUGUCAGAACAAAGUUCAUCGAAAUCCAGAGAUCUAUGAACAAUCAGAUGUAGACAGACAUGUUUGAGAAGAAAAUACACAGAGAAGAGAGAAUGAAGACUCCCCUGGAUGCAUUGAUGACCUCAAGGAAGGAGACAAGUCUACCUAUGCUGCUCUCCUCACUAAAACAUGAGCUCAGGGAACCAAAAUCUGCACUUUUAUUUUGGCGAGUUUCAGUUCUAUGUUACCAACAUGUACAGUAGCCUACUAUGUCACUUGUUCAUGGGAAAUACAGUAAAUGUUGACAUUGGUUGUAUUUUAGUUUACUUUUAAAAUGUUUUCUUAGGUACAAAAUCCUGAAGAGCGAUGUCUCAGAACUGUCCGAUGACAGGGACUUUGAGUACAGGACCAUCCUGCAGAAGAUCGGCCAAUUCCACAACUUCUCUCACAAGAAGUUGCCCUACUCAAAGCUUCUCCAACCAGCCAUGCAAGAUGCUCUGAUGUUCCUCACUGAGAACGUCUUCCAGCUCCUACCCCGACAACUCAAGCACUGGUAUCAGUAUCUCAAACUGCCCUUUUAUGACGCCUCCUGACUCUUAAACUCAAGUCAUCCUCAGAGGGCUGCCAGCCAAUUGUUAUUUUAGUUUAAAUUAUAUUAAAUGUAAUUUGUUUCAGAAAUAUGGA